This 208-nucleotide ribosomal RNA is filed under the name uncultured bacterium. RNAcentral describes it as "partial 16S ribosomal RNA". It matches the Rfam family "Bacterial small subunit ribosomal RNA", at positions 568 to 774 of the family's 1533-position model. The record is from RNAcentral.
CUCGUAGGCGGUUGAGUAAGUCGGGUGUGAAAACUCUGGGCUUAACCCGGAGACGCCAUCCGAUACUGCUCUGACUAGAGUUCAGGAGGGGAGUGGGGAAUUCCUAGUGUAGCGGUGAAAUGCGCAGAUAUUAGGAGGAACACCGGUGGCGAAGGCGCCACUCUGGACUGAAACUGACGCUGAGGAGCGAAAGCAUGGGUAGCAAACA